RNAcentral lists this ribosomal RNA (798 nucleotides) under Arthrobacter sp. RNAcentral's name for it is "bacterial SSU rRNA". It matches the Rfam family "Bacterial small subunit ribosomal RNA", at positions 93 to 897 of the family's 1533-position model. The record is from RNAcentral. Lineage: Bacteria; Bacillati; Actinomycetota; Actinomycetes; Micrococcales; Micrococcaceae.
UAGUGGCGAACGGGUGAGUAACACGUGAGUAACCUUCCCUUGACUCUGGGAUAAGCCUGGGAAACUGGGUCUAAUACUGGAUAUGACUUGUCAUCGCAUGGUGGUGGGUGGAAAGAUUUUUUGGUUUUGGAUGGACUCGCGGCCUAUCAGCUUGUUGGUGGGGUAAUGGCCUACCAAGGCGACGACGGGUAGCCGGCCUGAGAGGGUGGACGGCCACACUGGGACUGAGACACGGCCCAGACUCCUACGGGAGGCAGCAGUGGGGAAUAUUGCACAAUGGGCGCAAGCCUGAUGCAGCGACGCCGCGUGGGGGAUGACGGCCUUCGGGUUGUAAACCCCUUUCAGUAGGGAAGAAGCCUCUUCGGGGGUGACGGUACUUGCAGAAGAAGCGCCGGCUAACUACGUGCCAGCAGCCGCGGUAAUACGUAGGGCGCGAGCGUUGUCCGGAAUUAUUGGGCGUAAAGAGCUCGUAGGCGGUGUGCCGCGUCUGCUGUGAAAGCCCGGGGCUCAACUCCGGGUCUGCAGUGGGUACGGGCAUACUAGAGUGCAGUAGGGGAGACUGGAAUUCCUGGUGUAGCGGUGAAAUGCGCAGAUAUCAGGAGGAACACCGAUGGCGAAGGCAGGUCUCUGGGCUGUAACUGACGCUGAGGAGCGAAAGCAUGGGGAGCGAACAGGAUUAGAUACCCUGGUAGUCCAUGCCGUAAACGUUGGGCACUAGGUGUGGGGGACAUUCCACGUUUUCCGCGCCGUAGCUAACGCAUUAAGUGCCCCGCCUGGGGAGUACGGCCGCAAGGCUAA